This is a long non-coding RNA of Myzus persicae (green peach aphid), 1160 nucleotides long. RefSeq lists it as uncharacterized. NCBI's taxonomy places the organism in Eukaryota, Metazoa, Arthropoda, Insecta, Hemiptera, Aphididae. The record is from RefSeq and is a predicted model, not a curated record. The transcript is spliced from 3 exons.
UAUUUAGCCCUCCUCGCUUAACAAAUACUAAUAAAUAAUAGUAACUAGAACAAGUAUAAAAUAAUCACAACAAAACACUUCGUCGGACUACUUGUAAAAAAUGGCCAAGUAAAAUAAAGCAGAUUUUUAACUAGCACUAUAACGAUGUGAUAUCAUAAAGAAAUUCUAAAUUAAUCGAAUUAAAGUACACUUAUUUACUUCAAUAACUAAUUUACUUGGCGAGAAAUUAUAUACUUAACACGACGCGGCACACGAACAAAUUGUGAACAAUAAGCAUUAGACGUUCAGUAUGAUUUAAAGUAUUUUAAUAAACAUUUGUACUCGAAAAUAAUUUCUCGCCAAGCAAAUAAAUUAUCCAAACAAAAUAAGUGCACUUUCAAAUUCGAUUUACUUAGAACUCGUUAAUUAAGAUAUAAAAAUGUGUUGGGUAUAUGUUAUUAUCAGCGACGACGGGGAAGGCGAGCGGAGAACUAGCGGACGUGCACCGUACCGUCAUUAGCUCACCUUAUCGGCAUUGAGUGCGGUAUUGCUCCGCGCGUAACCACUAACCACCACCGAGGUGCUGCGUCUCAAGUUGAAGAGACGUCAGUAGCGCUUAUCACAGGACAUCGCCGCCGCAGUCGAAAACAUCGCCAAUAUCUGUUUUCCGUGACGAACGAAAACACAGAAAAAACGAAACGAACAGUGCGCGUACAGUGUUGUUUUUCCUCCCUUUUACACAUUUGUGAAAAUCCGAUAUUCGCGUGUGCCGCGAGCCAUUCGUCGCCGUCACCUGUAGCUGUCUACCGCUGUGGAAUUAAGACCGUUUGUCGUGCCGCCGAUGCUCAUCACUUCCUGGACCCAACCAACGGCCAUUCCACCUUCCGGAUCGUCUUCGGGUCAGAGCUAUUCAAAGCCAAUCAACCACAAAACCCUGAUAAUCCAUCUACAAUAGCCCAGGAACGAAUUAUAAGAGAAGCAGUAGAGAACUUAGAAGGAACCCCGGCAAUACCAGACUGAGCGCUUCGCGGCGUCCCUCCGCCGGCAAUGCCUAUACCUGAAAGAGUGAUCCAAAGGGAUAGGUUCAUGAAUAUUUUAAGGCACAGGAAUGACAACGAUCAAAAUAUUCGAAAUAAUCGACGACGGCGGCCAUAGUAGACCAACAAUUAUUAUUAUUAUUA